UGGGGAAUCUUCCGCAAUGGACGAAAGUCUGACGGAGCAACGCCGCGUGUAUGAUGAAGGUCUUCGGAUUGUAAAGUACUGUCAUUGGGGAAGAACGGUUUUCUUGAAAAGAUUGAGAAGACAUGACGGUACCCAAGGAGGAAGCCCCGGCUAACUACGUGCCAGCAGCCGCGGUAAUACGUAGGGGGCAAGCGUUGUCCGGAAAUUAUUGGGCGUAAAGGGCGCGUAGGCGGGCCUUUAAGUCCGGUGUGAAAGAUCAGGGCUCAACCCUGAGAGUGCAUCGGAAACUGGAGGCCUUGAGGACAGGAGAGGAAAGUGGAAUUCCACGUGUAGCGGUGAAAUGCGUAGAUAUGUGGAGGAACACCAGUGGCGAAAGGCGACUUUCUGGACUGUAACUGACGCUGAGGCGCGAAAGCGUGGGGAGCAAACAGGAUUAGAUACCCUGGUAGUCCACGCCGUAAACGAUGAGUGCUAGGUGUAGAGGGUAUCGA
This 491-nucleotide ribosomal RNA is filed under the name uncultured bacterium. RNAcentral's name for it is "partial 16S ribosomal RNA". It matches the Rfam family "Bacterial small subunit ribosomal RNA", at positions 355 to 835 of the family's 1533-position model. The record is from RNAcentral.